UCCUUUUCAAGCUGUUGAUCUU
This 22-nucleotide microRNA is filed under the name Manduca sexta (tobacco hornworm). Its description in RNAcentral is "mse-miR-6093". Lineage: Eukaryota; Metazoa; Arthropoda; Insecta; Lepidoptera; Sphingidae. The record is from miRBase by way of RNAcentral.